CAAUAGCGUAUAUUAAAGUUGUUGCGGUUAAAAAGCUCGUAGUUGGAUUUCUGCCGAGGACGACCGGUCCGCCCUCUGGGUGAGUAUCUGGCUCGGCCUGGGCAUCUUCUUGGAGAACGUAGCUGCACUUGACUGUGUGGUGCGGUAUCCAGGACUUUUACUUUGAGGAAAUUAGAGUGUUUCAAGCAGGCAUACGCCUUGAAUACAUUAGCAUGGAAUAAUAAGAUAGGACCUCGGUUCUAUUUUUUCGGUUUCUUAGAGCUGAGGUAAGUAGAUUAACUAAGGGAGUAGUUGGGGGUCGGAUUCGUAUUUAACUUAGUCAGAGGU
RNAcentral lists this ribosomal RNA (327 nucleotides) under uncultured eukaryote. RNAcentral describes it as "bacterial SSU rRNA". It matches the Rfam family "Eukaryotic small subunit ribosomal RNA", at positions 592 to 912 of the family's 1831-position model. The record is from RNAcentral.